Molecule: unclassified non-coding RNA, 828 nt
Filed under: Hevea brasiliensis (rubber tree)
Lineage: Eukaryota; Viridiplantae; Streptophyta; Magnoliopsida; Malpighiales; Euphorbiaceae
Source: RNAcentral
AAAGCAUUGAAUUUCUCGAUUCUAAACUAAUCCAAUUGUGUUUUAUACAUAAUAUCAAUCUUUGCUCAUUGUAUAUAGUUACAACCCUCAAAAGUAUUAUCACUAUAUGCUGUGAUAUCGAAAACGAUUAAAACCAUGGCCGAAACAUAUUAUGACUCUAAGCAAUUAACCUCUCGAGUCCAACACUAGAGAAUCGAAAACCUCGAAUUGCUGCUUUAAGCGACGGCGACAGGUUGCUACUUUGACGGCUCGAGAUUCUUCUUAUUUUUUGAUUUAUCGUCGUCGCCGAGAAAAUCUUCCAUGGUGUAAAUGACGUGAUGUAAAGUGAGCAGCUAGGGCACCGAGCGAUUUCCUCGCCGAGGCGGAGAUCCUCCUUGGUGAUUUGAAAUAGGUCGCCGCACGGGCAGGGGUAAGUGUAUGCUUGAAGCCCCUCGUUCCAUUCCAUGUCCUCUAUGUCCUCUAUUUCCACAUCGUCGUACGACAUCGUUUCCGAGCCCUUUGGUUUCUUUCGUCGAACUCGCAAUGAAUUCCGCCGUGUUUCUGUAAAGAUGUUGAUCAGAAAAGGCCAAGGGAAGAAGAUGAGUCGGCUUUCAGAUUUUACAGACGGGUCGAGAGGAACCGGAUCCGAUUGCAUUUGUGCAUACACCGUAUGGGUUUCGUCAUGGUGCCAGUUUUGUAAAGAUGGGGCUUCGGCUUUUUGAAAUUUGUAAUUGUGCCCUCAAUUGUUGGAAAAUUUCUAUUUUCUUCCGUUUUUCUAUAUUUUUUGGGGAAAUGACAAGUUAUUUUGCCAAAUUUUAAUGUAUAAAAAUUUAUUUUUUUAUUUUAAAU